GAUGAAGAACGUAGCGAAAUGCGAUAAGUAAUGUGAAUUGCAGAAUUCAGUGAAUCAUCGAAUCUUUGAACGCACAUUGCGCCCUCUGGUAUUCUGGCGGGCAUGCCUGUUCGAGCGUCAUUUCAACCAUCAAGCCCUGCUUGUGUUGGGGUCCUGCGGCUGCCCGCAGGCCCUGAAAACCAGUGGCGGGCUCGCUAGUCACACCGAGCGCAGUAGCACAUCUCGCUCAGGGCGUGCGGCGGGCUCCAGCCGUUAAAGCACCCACCUUUCGCAAGGUUGACCUCGGAUCAGGUAGGAAUACCCGCUGAACUUAAGCAUAUCAAUAAGCGGAGGA
Molecule: unclassified non-coding RNA, 334 nt
Filed under: soil metagenome
Description: partial contains 5.8S ribosomal RNA, internal transcribed spacer 2, and large subunit ribosomal RNA
Rfam family: 5.8S ribosomal RNA (bases 1-120)
Source: RNAcentral